Molecule: ribosomal RNA, 301 nt
Filed under: uncultured bacterium
Lineage: Bacteria
Description: partial 16S ribosomal RNA
Rfam family: Bacterial small subunit ribosomal RNA
Source: RNAcentral
CAGCAGCCGCGGGAAUACAGAGGGUGCGAGCGUUAAUCGGAUUUACUGGGCGUAAAGCGUGCGUAGGCGGCUUCUUAAGUCGGAUGUGAAAUCCCUGAGCUUAACUUAGGAAUUGCAUUCGAUACUGGGAAGCUAGAGUAUGGGAGAGGAUGGUAGAAUUCCAGGUGUAGCGGUGAAAUGAGUAGAGAUCUGGAGGAAUACCGAUGGCGAAGGCAGCCAUCUGGCCUAAUACUGACGCUGAGGUACGAAAGCAUGGGGAGCAAACAGGAUUAGAUACCCGCGUAGUCCCUGUCUCUUAUAC